AACGCGAAGAACCUUACCUACUCUGGACAUCCAGAGAACUUAGCAGAGAUGCUUUGGUGCCUUCGGGAACUCUGAGACAGGUGCUGCAUGGCUGUCGUCAGCUCGUGUUGUGGAAUGUUGGGUUAAGUCCCGCAACGAGCGCAACCCUUAUCCUUUGUUGCCAACGAUUCGGUCGGGAACUCAAAGGAGACUGCCGGUGAUAAACCGGAGGAAGGUGGGGAUGACGUCAAGUCAUCAUGGCCCUUACGAGUAGGGCUACACACGUGCUACAAUGGCGUAUACAAAGAGAAGCGAACUCGCGAGAGCAAGCGGACCUCAUAAAGUACGUCGUAGUCCGGAUUGGAGUCUGCAACUCGACUCCAUGAAGUCGGAAUCGCUAGUAAUCGUAGAUCAGAAUGCUACGGUGAAUACGUUCCCGGGCCUUGUACACACCGCCCGUCACACCAUGGGAGUGGGUUGCAAAAGAAGUAGGUAGCUUAACCUUCGGGAGGGCGCUUACCACUUUGUGAUUCAUGACUGGGGUGAAGUCGUAACAAGGUA
Molecule: ribosomal RNA, 540 nt
Filed under: uncultured bacterium
Lineage: Bacteria
Description: bacterial SSU rRNA
Rfam family: Bacterial small subunit ribosomal RNA
Source: RNAcentral